UAGGGAAUCUUCCACAGUGGGCGCAAGCCUGAUGGAGCAACACCGCGUGAGUGAAGAAGGGUUUCGGCUCGUAAAGCUCUGUUGUUAAAGAAGAACACGUAUGAGAGUAACUGUUCAUACGUUGACGGUAUUUAACCAGAAAGUCACGGCUAACUACGUGCAAG
Molecule: ribosomal RNA, 164 nt
Filed under: uncultured bacterium
Lineage: Bacteria
Description: partial 16S rRNA
Rfam family: Bacterial small subunit ribosomal RNA
Source: RNAcentral